GGAGACCAGAGCGAUAUGGUACCACCUGAUCCCAUCCCGAACUCAGAAGUGAAACGUAUCAGCGCCGAUGGUAGUGUGGACAUGUUCCAUGUGAGAGUAGGU
This 102-nucleotide ribosomal RNA is filed under the name pig gut metagenome. The record is from RNAcentral.